RNAcentral lists this long non-coding RNA (2591 nucleotides) under Capra hircus (goat). Its description in RNAcentral is "lncRNA (ENSCHIG00010008681.1)". The record is from RNAcentral. Lineage: Eukaryota; Metazoa; Chordata; Mammalia; Artiodactyla; Bovidae.
GUUUUGAUCAAAAAGCCUCUGCUGCUCUUUCUAAGGAUGACAAGUAGAACCAGUGCUAUAAGUUUUAACCUGGGAAUUUAGAAUGCAUUUGCCUAGGUUUUUCUUGAUGUUUUGAUGAGCACAUUAGCAUUAAUUCUAGAAUACAUUUCUGCUGGAACGGGUACCAAGUAAUUUACUGCCUUGCAGGUCAGAGUGGGCAACAAAUAUGAUUUCCAUGUAUCCAAUCCAUAAUGCAUUAUGGGACUCCAGCAGUAAAACCAUGAUUUUCAAAGAAUGUUCAUUUAACCAUACAGGUAAUUAAUAAUUGAUACGUUAUUUGCUUUAAGAGUCAAAAAUGCUAUGAAAAAGCCUCUAUCACUGCUCUCAGCCCAGAUCACCCUAAAACCAGGACCAUGGGGGCUUGUAGCACCUCGAGUCUACAAGGGUUCUGGCCCACCAGAGUGAACGAAGGCAGAACUAGUUUGACAUUUCCUGCUGACUGUGAUUAGAACAUCUUUUAAUGAAGCUCACUUCAAAUCAUUUUAAAUCCAUUUGCUCAUGUCAACAUCAAUGUACUCAGCAUUAUCUACCAAUUAGUAAACCGGAAAAUAUUCUUUAGAUAAUCUGAAAUCUCAGUAAAAUAUUCAGCAUGCCAUUCAUUUACUAUAAACUGCCCUGUAAAAACAAAUUAGCAAAACCAGCUGUCACAGGACAACAUAAACAUCCAUUAAUACAGCCCAACUACUUCAGUCUCUGGCGAGAUUUUUCAGGAAGGAGAAAAUGCAGUAGAAAUACAAAUCAACAAGAAUUUCAAUGUGCUGCACAAUAUUAAAGGAGCCAUUUACCUUCCCCGUGUGUGAGCCCAAACUUGGACUGGGACGAAAGGGGUUAAAUGAGACCUUCUUGACAGUAGUCUUUGUGCUGCAGUGAAUCUAGAGGACCAAGGCAGUUCUAACACAUGUCAUACUUUGGAAAGAUCAGAAAUGUCAAGGAGCAUGAAAGCUGGCCAAAUAUCAAUCUGAUUAUAAAUAUGCAAGGGAGCAAUCAAUUCAAUUGCAAGACCCAGAUUUUGCACGACUCUCUCGCACACUGCAGAAAGCACCUUCCAAACUUACAGGAAGCCAGUGAGUACAUCACUUACCAGCCAACAUUGACUCGUCGUUUCCACAAAUCAGCCUGACAAAAUUCUAUAAUUUAAAUACGGCAAUAUUUCAAUAGCCGCCUUCCACUUAGGACCCUUCCAGUAUUUUUCAUUUUAAUGCAUUGGUUAUAAAUAAACUGCAGCAGCACCUGUUAAGAGGGAUUAAAAAACGCUUUUAUAUUAUGAGAGACCGGGUGAGAGCUUGUUCUCUGAUGAACACACUCAUGAUAUGCAGAAGACGUCUGUAGUGGAGGAGCAGUAUUCUUCAACAAUGAUUUCGAUUUAAGAAUCUAAAUUAGGCUUCAGUCACUGAUGACUACUUCGACCUUCUAAACGACAUGGAACACUUCAGAGUGGGUGCCUAACACAAAGGCUUGCCAGUCACAAGAUGGAAUAUGCUCCAAUACGCACACCCAACUGAUUGAAGGUAGAAAGUCUUGAGUGGGUGGGGCAAGCUCACUCUUUCCUUAGAAGACCCAUGAUCCCCCUAGUGAUGGACAGAAGCACCAGAACCAGCACCAAAGGUGCCCACAAACAGCUGCACAUAAGGUUUCCAAAAUGCUGGUAGGGCCACCCAAGCAGCUUGAUUUCUAGGACAUUUCCAUUUUGAGUUUUGCUAGGUAUUUCAAGACAUUAAGAAAUAUACAUGCUGAGCUGAGCAUGGAAAAGAGAGGACCCAUACGUAGCAGGGACCAUGGACCAACACCAUUGCAAGCAUACAAUUUCUUUAAAGGAGGAAAGAAAUCUAAAGCAUUCUCAUCCUUUAGGUGAACAAGUUUAUAGGCACACUAGGGUUGACUCCUAAUUCUACAGCAAGUCAAUGCUGACCCAUAAGGACCUCCAAACCAAAGGGAGGGGGGGAAUCAAAUGAACUGAAAAAAAAAAUUGUUUUAAUCAACUCAGUCACAUCUGUACAUCCUCUGGAGAGAAGUCAUAAACUUGUCUUAAGUUUACACUUGUCUUCUUGACAUUAAUUAUUAAGAAAAGCUUUUCAUCUUGAUUAUAGCCAUUAAUAAAUUAAAAGUGAAUACAUUUCUAUAAGUAUUUCAUUUCAUAACCAGGUGCGACACUCAGCCUGUGACUUUUAUAUACAAAGAGACUUCAUUAAUGCAAAAGCAUCCUGUGUAUAGUAUCUAUAAGAAAGGUAAGUAUAAACUUUAAGGAUAAUUUGCAAUUUUCCAAAUGUUAAUUCUCUACUUUCAACAUUUACCAGAAUUUUAACGUUUAAAUGAGUUUUCCACCUUGUAUAAAACAAAUACAUGUUCACUGAAAAAAGAUUCCAGCCACAUAGAAAAUUACCAAAAAGAAAGGCUGUAAGUACUGUAAUGUCAGUCUUGUACUCCUUGGCACUACAUUAUAUGAGAUGAGACAGGAGGACUGGGAAGAAAAAAGCUUGAAGACAGCCAGAUCUGGAGCGUUCUCUACAAUAAUGAAGGCUCUCCUGGAACAAGUGAUUUGCCAAAUCCAGGAG